RNAcentral lists this ribosomal RNA (232 nucleotides) under uncultured bacterium. Its description in RNAcentral is "partial 16S ribosomal RNA". It matches the Rfam family "Bacterial small subunit ribosomal RNA", at positions 118 to 347 of the family's 1533-position model. The record is from RNAcentral.
UGAGUAACCUGCCCUGGACUUUGGGAUAACCCUCGGGAAACGGGGGCUAAUACCGGAUACUCCGGUCGAACCGCAUGGCUCGAUCGGGAAAGCUCCGACGGUCUGGGAUGGGCCCGCGGCCUAUCAGCUUGUUGGUGGGGUCAUGGCUCACCAAGGCGACGACGGGUAGCUGGUCUGAGAGGACGACCAGCCACACUGGAACUGAGAUACGGUCCAGACCUCCGUACGGGAG